Molecule: ribosomal RNA, 210 nt
Filed under: uncultured eukaryote
Lineage: Eukaryota
Description: partial 18S ribosomal RNA
Rfam family: Eukaryotic small subunit ribosomal RNA
Source: RNAcentral
UGGUGGAUUGAUCUGUCUGCUUAAUUGCGAUAACGAACGAGAUCACCACCCAUCAAUAUGCAGCGGUGACGUACAUACGUAGGUCGGUUUGGGCGCUUUCGGAUCCGUUUCGGCGGGGAAGAACGUCCAGUUUACGCCGUCCGAGUCGCCGCGGCGCUUCUUAUGGGGACUGUGCACGCUUUUAGUGCACGGAAGAUGGCGCCAAUCGCA